Molecule: ribosomal RNA, 497 nt
Filed under: uncultured bacterium
Lineage: Bacteria
Description: partial 16S ribosomal RNA
Rfam family: Bacterial small subunit ribosomal RNA
Source: RNAcentral
GAUGAACGCUGGCGGCGUGCCUAAUACAUGCAAGUCGAGCGAACAGACGCGGUGCUUGCUCCACUGACGUUAACGGCGGACGGGUGAGUAACAUGUGGUUCACCUACCUAUAAGACUGGGCUAACUUAGGGAAACCGGAGCUAAUACCGUAUAAUUUCUUGAACCGGAUGGUUCAAUAGUUACAGACGGUUUUGCUGGCACUUAUAGCUGGAUCCGCGCUGGGUUGGCAGGUUUGUAGGGUAACGGCUUACGAAGGCAGGGAUGCGUAGGCGACCUGGGCGGGGGAUUGGCCACAGUGGAAGUGAGACGCGGCCCAGAGUCCUAGGGAAGGCCGCGACAGGGAAGCUUCGGCGAUGGGCGAAAGCCUGACGGAGCAGCGCCACGCGAGUGAAGAAGGGCUUCGGAUCGGAAAACGCUGUUAUGAGUGAAGAACGAAUGUGGAAGUAACGAUGCACGUCGUGACGGUACCUAAUCAAAAAGCCCCGGCUAACUACGUG